GUAGGUGGCAAGCGUUGUCCGGAAUUAUUGGGCGUAAAGCGCGCGCAGGCGGUUCGUUUAAGUCUGAUGUGAAAGCCCACGGGCUCAACCGUGGAGGGUCAUUGGAAACUGGAGAACUUGAGUACAGAAGAGGAAAGCGGAAUUCCACGUGUAGCGGUGAAAUGCGUAGAGAUGUGGAGGAACACCAGUGGCGAAGGCGGCUCUCUGGUCUGUAACUGACGCUGAGGCGCGAAAGCGUGGGGAGCAAACAGGAUUAGAUACCCUGGUAGUCCACGCCGUAAACGAUGAGUGCUAAGUGUUAGGGGGUUUCCGCCCCUUAGUGCUGCAGCUAACGCAUUAAGCACUCCGCCCGGGGAGUACGGCCGCAAAGGCUG
RNAcentral lists this ribosomal RNA (374 nucleotides) under uncultured organism. RNAcentral's name for it is "partial 16S ribosomal RNA". It matches the Rfam family "Bacterial small subunit ribosomal RNA", at positions 527 to 896 of the family's 1533-position model. The record is from RNAcentral.